UGGCAUGUAGCUCAGCCGGUAGAGCACCUCGCUGUUAACGAGGGUGUCGCAGGUUCGAGACCUGCCGUGCCAGCCA
This 76-nucleotide transfer RNA is filed under the name Bradyrhizobium elkanii. RNAcentral's name for it is "tRNA-Asn". It matches the Rfam family "tRNA". From Rfam's summary of the family: Transfer RNA (tRNA) molecules are approximately 80 nucleotides in length. Their secondary structure includes four short double-helical elements and three loops (D, anti-codon, and T loops). RNAcentral also lists the same sequence under 7 other names. The record is from RNAcentral. Lineage: Bacteria; Pseudomonadati; Pseudomonadota; Alphaproteobacteria; Hyphomicrobiales; Nitrobacteraceae.